GAUGAACGCUGGCGGCGUGCCUAACACAUGCAAGUCGAGCGAACGGACGCGAAGCUUUCCUCUCUUCUGUUAGCGUCGCACGGGUGAGUAUCACGUGGAUACCCUCUCUAUAUGACUGGGAUACCUUCGGGAAACCCGAGCUCUUAUCCGAUAUUCUUUUUAACCUCAUGGUUCAAAAUAGAUAGACGGUCUUGCUGUCACUUAUACUUGGAUCCGCGCUGCAUUAGCUAGUUGGUUAGGUAACGGCUUACCAAGGCAACGAUGCAUAGCCGACCUGAGAGGGUGAUCGGCCACACUGGAACUGAGACACGGUCCAGACUCCUACGGGAGGAAGAAGUAGGGAAUCUUCGGAAAUGGGCGAAAGCCUGACGGAGAAACGCCGCGGGAGUGAGGAAGGUCUUCGGAUCGUAAAACUCUGUUAUUAGGGAGGAACAUAUGUGUAAGAAAAGGGGGAAGGCUUGACGGUACCGAAUCAGAAAGCCACGGCUAACUACGUG
This 497-nucleotide ribosomal RNA is filed under the name uncultured bacterium. RNAcentral's name for it is "partial 16S ribosomal RNA". It matches the Rfam family "Bacterial small subunit ribosomal RNA", at positions 28 to 507 of the family's 1533-position model. The record is from RNAcentral.